UUGACCUCGAAUCAGGUAGGAAUACCCGCUGAACUUAAGCAUAUCAAUAAGCGGAGGAAAAGAAACCAACCGGGAUUACCUCAGUAACGGCGAGUGAAGCGGUAACAGCUCAAAUUUGAAAUCUGGCUCCUUCGGAGUCCGAGUUGUAAUUUGUAGAAGAUGCUUUGGGUUGUGGGCUCGGCCUAAGUUCCUUGGAACAGGACGUCAUAGAGGGUGAGAAUCCCGUAUGUGGCCAUGGCCCGCGCCUAUGUAAAGCUCUUUCGACGAGUCGAGUUGUUUGGGAAUGCAGCUCAAAAUGGGUGGUAAAUUUCAUCUAAAGCUAAAUAUGGGCCAGAGACCGAUAGCGCACAAGUAGAGUGAUCGAAAGAUGAAAAGCACUUUGGAAAGAGAGUUAAACAGUACGUGAAAUUGUUGAAAGGGAAGCGCUUGCAACCAGACUUGGGCGCUGCCGAUCACCCCGAGUUCUCUCGGGUGCACUCGACAGCGCACAGGCCAGCAUCGGUUCGGGUGGCUGGAUAAAGGCCGUAGGAAUGUAGCUCUCUUCGGGGAGUGUUAUAGCCCACGGUGCCAUGCAGCCCAGCCGGACCGAGGACCGCGCCUUCGGGCUAGGAUGCUGGCGUAAUGGUUGUAAGCGACCCGUCUUGAAACACGGACCAAGGAGUCUAACAUCUAUGCGAGUGUUUGGGCGUUAAACCCAUACGCGGAAUGAAAGUGAACGUAGGU
This 723-nucleotide ribosomal RNA is filed under the name Erysiphe aquilegiae. Its description in RNAcentral is "eukaryotic LSU rRNA". It matches the Rfam family "Eukaryotic large subunit ribosomal RNA", at positions 1 to 736 of the family's 3401-position model. RNAcentral also lists the same sequence under 1 other name. The record is from RNAcentral. Lineage: Eukaryota; Fungi; Ascomycota; Leotiomycetes; Helotiales; Erysiphaceae.